AACGUAGGUUCCGAGCGUUAUCCGGAUUUACUGGGCGUAAAGCGCGUUCAGGCGGUUUGACAAGUCGGGCAUGAAAUCUCUCGGCUCAACCGGGAGAGGUUGUCCGAUACUGUCAGACUUGAGGGCAGUAGAGGGUGGUGGAAUUCCGGGUGUAGUGGUGAAAUGCGUAGAUAUCCGGAGGAACACCAGUGGCGAAAGCGGCCACCUGGACUGUACCUGACGCUCAAACGCGAAAGCUAGGGGAGCGAACGGG
RNAcentral lists this ribosomal RNA (253 nucleotides) under uncultured bacterium. RNAcentral's name for it is "partial 16S ribosomal RNA". It matches the Rfam family "Bacterial small subunit ribosomal RNA", at positions 524 to 776 of the family's 1533-position model. The record is from RNAcentral.